CGCUAUUCUCAGGGCAGGGUGAAAUUCCCUACCGGUGGUUACAGCCCACGAGCGGCCUUUGCCCUUGGCACAGGUGUCAGCAGACCCGGCGAGAUUCCGGGGCCGACGGUCACAGUCCGGAUGAAAGAGAAUGGAG
Molecule: non-coding RNA, 136 nt
Organism: Alphaproteobacteria bacterium MedPE-SWcel
Lineage: Bacteria; Pseudomonadati; Pseudomonadota; Alphaproteobacteria
Source: Rfam